RNAcentral lists this non-coding RNA (80 nucleotides) under unclassified sequences. RNAcentral describes it as "Xanthine-I sequence". It matches the Rfam family "Xanthine riboswitch aptamer (NMT1 RNA)". From Rfam's summary of the family: Later it was reported as a ncRNA that recognised Xanthine. The record is from Rfam by way of RNAcentral.
GGCAAGAGUAGAAGCGUUCACUGCGCAGCCCUUCAUGCCGUGGAGCAUGAGGGCCAGGCCAGCCGGAAAUUGCUCUUGAA